Molecule: ribosomal RNA, 442 nt
Filed under: uncultured Pseudomonadota bacterium
Lineage: Bacteria; Pseudomonadati; Pseudomonadota
Description: bacterial SSU rRNA
Rfam family: Bacterial small subunit ribosomal RNA
Source: RNAcentral
CCUACGGGGGGCAGCAGUGGGGAAUAUUGCGCAAUGGGCGAAAGCCUGACGCAGCCACGCCGCGUGGGUGAUGAAGGCCCUCGGGUUGUAAAGCCCUGUCGGGAGGGACGAAGUUCUGACGGUACCUCCCAAGAAAGCACCGGCUAACUCCGUGCCAGCAGCCGCGGUAAUACGGAGGGUGCGAGCGUUGCUCGGAAUUAUUGGGCGUAAAGCGUACGCAGGCGGCUCGAUAAGUCGAGUGUGAAAUCCCGGAGCUCAACUCCGGACGUGCAUUCGAUACUGUCGGGCUUGAGUGCGGGAGAGGGAAGCGGAAUUCCUGGUGUAGAGGUGAAAUUCGUAGAUAUCAGGAGGAACACCGGUGGCGAAAGCGGCUUCCUGGCCCGACACUGACGCUCAUGUACGAAAGCGUGGGGAGCAAACAGGAUUAGAUACCCCUGUAGUC